This 304-nucleotide ribosomal RNA is filed under the name uncultured bacterium. RNAcentral describes it as "partial 16S ribosomal RNA". It matches the Rfam family "Bacterial small subunit ribosomal RNA", at positions 506 to 807 of the family's 1533-position model. The record is from RNAcentral.
CAGCAGCAGCCGCGGUAAUACGGAGGGAGCUAGCGUUGUUCGGAAUUACUGGGCGUAAAGCGCACGUAGGCGGUUAUUCAAGUCAGAGGUGAAAGCCCGGGGCUCAACCUCGGAACUGCCUUUGAAACUAGAUGACUGGAAUCUUGGAGAGGUCAGUGGAAUUCCGAGUGUAGAGGUGAAAUUCGUAGAUAUUCGGAAGAACACCAGUGGCGUAGGCGACUGACUGGACAAGUAUUGACGCUGAGGUGCGAAAGCGUGGGGAGCAAACAGGAUUAGAUACCCGAGUAGUCCCUGUCUCUUAUAC